Molecule: ribosomal RNA, 482 nt
Filed under: uncultured bacterium
Lineage: Bacteria
Description: partial 16S ribosomal RNA
Rfam family: Bacterial small subunit ribosomal RNA
Source: RNAcentral
AUUGAACGCUGGCGGCAUGCUUUACACAUGCAAGUCGAACGGUAACAGGCCGCAAGGUGCUGACGAGUGGCGAACGGGUGAGUAAUGCAUCGGAACGUGCCCAGUCGUGGGGGUUAACUACUCGAAAGAGUAGCUAAUACCGCAUACGAUCUAUGGAUGAAAGCGGGGGACCGUAAGGCCUCGCGCGAUUGGAGCGGCCGAUGUCAGAUUAGGUAGUUGGUGGGGUAAAGGCUCACCAAGCCAAAGAUCUGUAGCUGGUCUGAGAGGACGACCAGCCACACUGGGACUGAGACACGGCCCAGACGCCUAAGGGAGGCAGCAGUGGGGAAUGUUGGACAAUGGGCGCAAGCCUGAUCCAGCAAUGCCGCGUGCAGGAAAAAGGCCUUCGGGUUGUAAACUGCUUUUGUACGGAACGAAACGGCUCUGGUUAAUACCCGGGGCUAAUGACGGUACCGUAAGAAUAAGCACCGGCUAACUACGUG